RNAcentral lists this unclassified non-coding RNA (417 nucleotides) under fungal sp. RNAcentral describes it as "partial internal transcribed spacer region". The stretch from base 1 to 46 matches the Rfam family "Eukaryotic small subunit ribosomal RNA", at positions 1786 to 1831 of the family's 1831-position model. The record is from RNAcentral. Lineage: Eukaryota; Fungi.
AAGUCGUAACAAGGUUUCCGUAGGUGAACCUGCGGAAGGAUCAUUAACAAAUCCGUUGUGGUUUUUUGGGGGGUGGGAUCGUCUCAUUCAUCAUCCAUGCAUGGUAUGGAUGGAUGGAUGGAUGGGGUGGGAUGACCAUCACCAAAAAACCUGACAUUAAAGCGGCCAUUUAUCAAGUUUUUUUACUUGUAUGGAUGGUACCGUGUGUGUGAGUGAAAUGAUGGCGAGAGAGAGUUUUCUAUGAGAGUUUUCUAUGAGAGUUUUCUAUGAGGGUUUUCUAUGAGGGUUUUCUAUGAGGGUUUUCUCUUGGCAUGCUUUCACAUCAUAUCGUUAACCCGUUUUUUUGAUUGUUUGACUGUUUUGAUUUGACAAUUUUAAAUAUAUAUAUAACUUUUAACAAUGGAUCUCUUGGCUCUU